Molecule: ribosomal RNA, 595 nt
Filed under: uncultured Bacteroidota bacterium
Lineage: Bacteria; Pseudomonadati; Bacteroidota
Description: bacterial SSU rRNA
Rfam family: Bacterial small subunit ribosomal RNA
Source: RNAcentral
CNACCUGCCCACCACUUGGGGAUAACCUUGCGAAAGUAAGACUAAUACCCAAUGAUAUCUCUANNNNACAUNUGAAAGAGAUUAAAGAUUCAUCGGUGAUGGAUGGGGAUGCGUCCGAUUAGCUUGUUGGCGGGGUAACGGCCCACCAAGGCGACGAUCAGUAGGGGUUCUGAGAGGAAGGUCCCCCACAUUGGAACUGAGACACGGUCCAAACUCCUACGGGAGGCAGCAGUGAGGAAUAUUGGUCAAUGGACGAGAGUCUGAACCAGCCAAGUAGCGUGCAGGAUGACGGCCCUAUGGGUUGUAAACUGCUUUUAUAAGGGAAUAAAGUGAGUCUCGUGAGACUUUUUGCAUGUACCUUAUGAAUAAGGACCGGCUAAUUCCGUGCCAGCAGCCGCGGUAAUACGGAAGGUCCGGGCGUUAUCCGGAUUUAUUGGGUUUAAAGGGAGCGUAGGCCGGAGAUUAAGCGUGUUGUGAAAUGUAGACGCUCAACGUCUGCACUGCAGCGCGAACUGGUUUCCUUGAGUACGCACAAAGUGGGCGGAAUUCGUGGUGUAGCGGUGAAAUGCUUAGAUAUCACGAAGAACUCCGAUUG